AUGGCCGACGGCACCCGCAGCCGGGUUCGGAGGCGCCGCCUCGCCGCCGGCAGGAACCGCCUCGGCGCCCUCCCCGACGACGUCCUCCAUCACACCCUCACCUACCUCUCCGUCACGGAAGCUGCCAGCGCCGCCGCCCUCUCCUCCAGCUGGCGCUACCUCUGGCGCUCCUACCCGCUCGUCCUCGAGGAUAAAGGCAUCCCCGCGCCCGCGCGCGAUGCCCUAGUACCCCGAGUCCUCGCCGACCACCCGGGCCGCUUCCGCUCCGUCAUCCUCUACGACUGCAGGCUCGCCUCCCUGAACCGUGAGCUCCCCGGGUGGCCGCGCCUCCUCGUCGACAAGAGCACGCAGCAACUCCUUCUCGCCCACCACGACUGGACCGUGAUCCAGCCCGACUCCGCGCGCCUUCUUCCCGCCGACAUCCUCCGCUGCGGCUCGCUCCAGGUGCUCAGCCUGGACUUCUGGACGUUCUCCGCCGACCUCUCCCGCCGCGCCGACAUAUCUCUUCCCCAGCUCCAGAUUCUCACCCUGACGAGGAUUGUCGUAAGCGACCGGGACCUGGAGUGCUUGAUCGCUGCCUGCCCCGUUCUGGAAUCCCUUCGGCUCACCCUCAAUAGCCCCAAGCAUGUCCGUCUCCGCAGCAAAAGCCUCAGGUGCGCGCUCGUUGGGCUGUCCAAGGUUGAGGAGUUCGCCGUGGUGGACACGCCGCUACUGCAGCGGCUCUACUUGUUCCAGCAGAUUAAUGGUGGGGCGGUCAGGAUCGCUUGUGUUCCCAACCUGCGCGUGCUCGGCUACCUGGACACAAGAACUCACAAGCUGCAGAUUGGGGACAGCGUCAUCAGGCCGGACACAAUGGCGAGCGCAAGGACUGUGGUUCCAAGCGUCGAGAUAUUGGCGUUGGCUCUGAAUUUGGGUAUCUCCGAGGAGGUUAAGAUACUGGCCAGCUUCCUCAGAUGCUUUCCGAACGUUGAGACGCUGCACAUUGAGUCUGCACCGCAUAAGCCACCUGUAACUUCCAGUGAACCCAGUGGGGAGCAUCAUGCCAGGUUCUAUCAGGAGGUCAGUCAGGUUGAUUGCUUGAGAGCACAUGCCAAGAAGAUGGUUAUUCACGAUUUCCGAGGGGAUCAAAAUGAAUUUGAAUUCAUCAAGUUCAUCGCCAAGAAUGCCGAGGAGCUGCAGUUCUUUCUGGUUAUUGUGUCGGACGAAGGGAUCUUGUCUUCAGCUGACAAGGUGAAGGAGAUAAAAGACGAAUUGCAGUAUGUACAGUUUCGCACAGGUAUCUCUGCAGUGUUACGGGAGUUACCUAAAGCUGGCAUUCCUUACCGCUUGAAGAGAGCAGCCGAUCUUGCAAUCAACGACCCUUUUCAGUGCUGA
RNAcentral lists this ribosomal RNA (1374 nucleotides) under Triticum aestivum (bread wheat). RNAcentral's name for it is "partial small subunit ribosomal RNA". The record is from RNAcentral. Lineage: Eukaryota; Viridiplantae; Streptophyta; Magnoliopsida; Poales; Poaceae.